AAAUCCAUUAUUGUUAAGUGAAAAUAAGGUAGUGUUUAUCCAAGCCAACCAGGAAAUGGGCUUAGGAGCGGCCAUUUUUUAAAGACCUCGUAACAGAGCACUGGUUUUAUACAAUUUUGUAUGUAUUGUUAGAUGCACCUAAAAUUUAACGGAUCUAAAUAAUAUACCGAGACCUUGUCCAUAAAUAUUUAUAUGUACAAGUUACAUAUAAUAUUUAUGGGGUAGCGGAACAUUGGGCAUAUCUCAGAUUUUUUCUUUUUAAGACUUAAGAUUAGAUGACCCAAGUGAUAAUGCUGACAUGAGUAACGAUAAAGGGUUUAUACCCUCGCCUAAAGCUUAUGGAAUUUACUUAAAGUAACGGCCUCUAAGUUUAAAUUUGCUAUAGUUUAAACAAACAACACUUGAUACCUAACUCUAACAGACAAUACAAGUGCAAAAUGGUAAACACCUAAUGGUAUAAACGAUGAUAAAAAGCUAAGUUUUACAGAUAUAAAUAGCAUGAGUGUUGCAGGUAGGUAUUAUAUAUAUAAUGGAUUUUUUUUUUUUAUUCUUUUUAAAAAUUAUUAUCUUUUGCACUAUCCCGGAAAAACCAAUAUACCAGGAAAAUGCAAGGGAUAAAAGGUAAAAAAAAUUAUUGGUACAAGUUAAAAAAAUUAUUGAUUUAAUAGUUAUUUUUUGCUAAAGAGACAAAUGCUCUGGAAAAAAAAAAACACCUGACUUGUUAAAAAAUAGGCCAGGUUCAAUCCCUUCGCCCAUUAAUAAAUAAUUACCGAACCUAAAACCUAACACAAGUAACCAGG
This 800-nucleotide ribosomal RNA is filed under the name Rhizocarpon geographicum. RNAcentral describes it as "partial large subunit ribosomal RNA". The stretch from base 1 to 298 matches the Rfam family "Bacterial large subunit ribosomal RNA", at positions 1046 to 1301 of the family's 2925-position model. The record is from RNAcentral. Lineage: Eukaryota; Fungi; Ascomycota; Lecanoromycetes; Rhizocarpales; Rhizocarpaceae.